This 253-nucleotide ribosomal RNA is filed under the name uncultured bacterium. RNAcentral describes it as "partial 16S ribosomal RNA". It matches the Rfam family "Bacterial small subunit ribosomal RNA", at positions 524 to 776 of the family's 1533-position model. The record is from RNAcentral.
UACGUAGGGGGCUAGCGUUGUCCGGAAUCAUUGGGCGUAAAGAGCGCGUAGGCGGCCAGAUAAGUCCGGUGUGAAAGUCAAAGGCUCAACCUUUGAAUGCCGCUGGAAACUGUCUGGCUAGAGUCCGGGAGGGGCGAGUGGAAUUCCUGGUGUAGCGGUGAAAUGCGCAGAUAUCUGGAGGAACACCGGUGGCGAAGGCGGCAUCCUGGACCGACACUGACACUGAGGAGCGAAAGCCAGGGGAGCAAACGGG